GCCAGGCGCGGUGGCGGGCGCCUGUAGUCCCAGCUACUCAGGAGGCUGAGGCAGGAGAAUGUCGUGAACCCGGGAGGCGGAGCUUGCAGUGAGCCAAGAUCNCGCUCUGUCACCCAGGCUGGAGUGCAGUGGCGCAAUCUCGGCUCACUGCAAGCUCCGCCUCCCGGGUUCACGCCAUUCUCCUGCCUCAG
This 191-nucleotide signal recognition particle RNA is filed under the name Chlorocebus sabaeus (green monkey). RNAcentral describes it as "Metazoan signal recognition particle RNA". It matches the Rfam family "Metazoan signal recognition particle RNA". From Rfam's summary of the family: The signal recognition particle (SRP) is a universally conserved ribonucleoprotein. It is involved in the co-translational targeting of proteins to membranes. Lineage: Eukaryota; Metazoa; Chordata; Mammalia; Primates; Cercopithecidae. The record is from Rfam by way of RNAcentral.